This 591-nucleotide ribosomal RNA is filed under the name Hanseniaspora uvarum. Its description in RNAcentral is "partial large subunit ribosomal RNA". It matches the Rfam family "Eukaryotic large subunit ribosomal RNA", at positions 65 to 664 of the family's 3401-position model. Lineage: Eukaryota; Fungi; Ascomycota; Saccharomycetes; Saccharomycodales; Saccharomycodaceae. The record is from RNAcentral.
CCCCCUGGGCUUACCUCUAGUAACGGCGAGUGAAGCGGUAAAAGCUCAAAUUUGAAAUCUGGUACUUUCAGUGCCCGAGUUGUAAUUUGUAGAAUUUGUCUUUGAUUAGGUCCUUGUCUAUGUUCCUUGGAACAGGACGUCAUAGAGGGUGAGAAUCCCGUUUGGCGAGGAUACCUUUUCUCUGUAAGACUUUUUCGAAGAGUCGAGUUGUUUGGGAAUGCAGCUCAAAGUGGGUGGUAAAUUCCAUCUAAAGCUAAAUAUUGGCGAGAGACCGAUAGCGAACAAGUACAGUGAUGGAAAGAUGAAAAGAACUUUGAAAAGAGAGUGAAAAAGUACGUGAAAUUGUUGAAAGGGAAGGGCAUUUGAUCAGACAUGGUGUUUUUUGCAUGCACUCGCCUCUCGUGGGCUUGGGCCUCUCAAAAAUUUCACUGGGCCAACAUCAAUUCUGGCAGCAGGAUAAAUCAUUAAGAAUGUAGCUACUUCGGUAGUGUUAUAGCUUUUUGGAAUACUGUUAGCCGGGAUUGAGGACUGCGCUUCGGCAAGGAUGUUGGCAUAAUGGUUAAAUGCCGCCCGUCUUGAAACACGGGACCA